UGGCUCAGGACGAACGCUGGCGGCGUGCUUAACACAUGCAAGUCGAACGAUGACGAUGGUGCUUGCACCGUCUGAUUAGUGGCGAACGGGUGAGUAACACGUGAGUAACCUGCCCUCCUCUUCGGGAUAACCGCCGGAAACGGUGGCUAAUACCGGAUAUGAAUGCCUGCCGCAUGGUGGGUGUUGGAAAGAUUUAUCGGUGGGGGAUGGACUCGCGGCCUAUCAGCUUGUUGGUGAGGUAAUGGCUCACCAAGGCGAUGACGGGUAGCCGGCCUGAGAGGGCGACCGGCCACACUGGGACUGAGACACGGCCCAGACUCCUACGGGAGGCAGCAGUGGGGAAUAUUGCACAAUGGGCGAAAGCCUGAUGCAGCGACGCCGCGUGGGGGAUGACGGCCUUCGGGUUGUAAACCUCUUUCAGUAGGGAAGAAGCGAGAGUGACGGUACCUGCAGAAGAAGCGCCGGCUAACUACGUGCCAGCCGCUGC
RNAcentral lists this ribosomal RNA (487 nucleotides) under uncultured bacterium. RNAcentral describes it as "bacterial SSU rRNA". It matches the Rfam family "Bacterial small subunit ribosomal RNA", at positions 20 to 518 of the family's 1533-position model. The record is from RNAcentral.